RNAcentral lists this ribosomal RNA (1244 nucleotides) under Kitasatospora sp. 2057. RNAcentral's name for it is "bacterial SSU rRNA". It matches the Rfam family "Bacterial small subunit ribosomal RNA", at positions 96 to 1355 of the family's 1533-position model. The record is from RNAcentral. Lineage: Bacteria; Bacillati; Actinomycetota; Actinomycetes; Kitasatosporales; Streptomycetaceae. RNAcentral also lists the same sequence under 2 other names.
UGGCGACGGGUGAGUAACACGUGGGGAAUCUGCCCUGAACUCUGGGACAAGCCUUGGAAACGAGGUCUAAUACCGGAUACGACCGUCUCCCGCAUGGGAGGUGGUGGAAAGCUCCGGCGGUUCAGGAUGAUCCCGCGGCCUAUCAGCUUGUUGGUGGGGUAACGGCCCACCAAGGCGACGACGGGUAGCCGGCCUGAGAGGGCGACCGGCCACACUGGGACUGAGACACGGCCCAGACUCCUACGGGAGGCAGCAGUGGGGAAUAUUGCACAAUGGGCGAAAGCCUGAUGCAGCGACGCCGCGUGAGGGAUGACGGCCUUCGGGUUGUAAACCUCUUUCAGCAGGGAAGAAGCGCAAGUGACGGUACCUGCAGAAGAAGCACCGGCUAACUACGUGCCAGCAGCCGCGGUAAUACGUAGGGUGCGAGCGUUGUCCGGAAUUAUUGGGCGUAAAGAGCUCGUAGGCGGCCUGUCGCGUCGGAUGUGAAAGCCCGGGGCUCAACCCCGGGUCUGCAUUCGAUACGGGCAGGCUGGAGUGUGGUAGGGGAGAUCGGAAUUCCUGGUGUAGCGGUGAAAUGCGCAGAUAUCAGGAGGAACACCGGUGGCGAAGGCGGAUCUCUGGGCCAUUACUGACGCUGAGGAGCGAAAGCGUGGGGAGCGAACAGGAUUAGAUACCCUGGUAGUCCACGCCGUAAACGUUGGGAACUAGGUGUUGGCGACAUUCCACGUCGUCGGUGCCGCAGCUAACGCAUUAAGUUCCCCGCCUGGGGAGUACGGCCGCAAGGCUAAAACUCAAAGGAAUUGACGGGGGCCCGCACAAGCAGCGGAGCAUGUGGCUUAAUUCGACGCAACGCGAAGAACCUUACCAAGGCUUGACAUACACCGGAAACUGGUAGAGAUAUCAGCCCCCUUGUGGUCGGUGUACAGGUGGUGCAUGGUUGUCGUCAGCUCGUGUCGUGAGAUGUUGGGUUAAGUCCCGCAACGAGCGCAACCCUUGUUCUGUGUUGCCAGCGAGUAAUGUCGGGGACUCACAGGAGACUGCCGGGGUCAACUCGGAGGAAGGUGGGGACGACGUCAAAUCAUCAUGCCCCUUAUGUCUUGGGCUGCACACGUGCUACAAUGGCCGGUACAAAGGGCUGCGAUGCCGCGAGGCGGAGCGAAUCCCAAAAAGCCGGUCUCAGUUCGGAUUGGGGUCUGCAACUCGACCCCAUGAAGUUGGAGUUGCUAGUAAUCGCAGAUCAGCAU